Eriocheir sinensis (Chinese mitten crab) is the source of this 1027-nucleotide long non-coding RNA. RefSeq lists it as uncharacterized. The transcript is spliced from 3 exons. Lineage: Eukaryota; Metazoa; Arthropoda; Malacostraca; Decapoda; Varunidae. The record is from RefSeq and is a predicted model, not a curated record.
CUACGGUACAUUUCCUUUUUAAACACAGCUGAACAUGUAAGAGGUCUCUAGAAUUUGGUACAGUUGAAGGUGUGUUAAACUUUUCGACCAUAGUACCACAAAAUUCUACGGUACAUUUCCUUUUUAAACACUGCUGAACAUGUGAGAGGUCUUUAGAAUUUGGUACAGUUGAAGAUGUGUUAAACUUUUCGACCAUAGUACCACAACAUUCUACGGUACAUUUCCUUUUUAAACACAGGUGAACAUGAGAGGUCUCUAGAAUUUGGUACAGUUGAAGAUGUGUUAGACUUUUCGACCAUAGUACCACAAAAUUCUACGGUACAUUUCCUUUUUAAACACUGCUGAACAUGUGAGAGGUCUCUAGAAUUUGGUACAGUUGAAGGUGUGUUAAACUUUUUGUCCAUAGUACCAUAACUCUGAACGGUACAUUUCCUUUUGAUGUACCGCAAAACAUCGUAGUGACUGGUCCUUAGAAUUUGGUACAGUUGAACUUUUCGACCAUAGUACCACAAAAUUCUACGGUACAUUUCCUUUUUAAACACAGGUGAACAUGAGAGGUCUUUAGAAUUUGGUACAGUUGAAGAUGUGUUAAACUUUUCGACCAUAGUACCACAAAAUUCUACGGUACAUUUCCUUUUUAAACACUGCUGAACAUGUAAGAGGUCUUUAGAAUUUGGUACAGUUGAAGGUGUGUUAAACUUUUCGACCAUAGUACCACAACAUUCUACGGUACAUUUCCUUUUUAAACACUGCUGAACAUGUAAGAGGUCUUUAGAAUUUGGUACAGUUGAAGGUGUGUUAAACUUUUCGACCAUAGUACCACAAAAUUCUACGGUACAUUUCCUUUUUAAACACUGCUGAACAUGAGAGGUCUCUAGAAUUUGGUACAGUUGAAGGUUUGUUAAACUUUUCGACCAUAGUACCACAAAAUUCUACGGUACAUUUCCUUUUUAAACACUGCUGAACAUGAGAGAGGUCUAUAGAAUUUGGUACAGUUGAAGAUGUGUUAAACUUUUCGACCAUAGUA